GGGGGUAUAGCUCAGCUGGGAGAGCGCUUGCAUGGCAUGCAAGAGGUCGCCGGUUCGAUCCCGACUACCUCCACCA
RNAcentral lists this transfer RNA (76 nucleotides) under Betaproteobacteria bacterium RIFCSPLOWO2_02_FULL_67_26. Its description in RNAcentral is "tRNA-Ala". It matches the Rfam family "tRNA". From Rfam's summary of the family: Transfer RNA (tRNA) molecules are approximately 80 nucleotides in length. Their secondary structure includes four short double-helical elements and three loops (D, anti-codon, and T loops). Further hydrogen bonds mediate the characteristic L-shaped molecular structure. tRNAs have two regions of fundamental functional importance: the anti-codon, which is responsible for specific mRNA codon recognition, and the 3' end, to which the tRNAs corresponding amino acid is attached (by aminoacyl-tRNA synthetases). tRNAs cope with the degeneracy of the genetic code in two manners: having more than one tRNA (with a specific anti-codon) for a particular amino acid; and 'wobble' base-pairing, i.e. permitting non-standard base-pairing at the 3rd anti-codon position. RNAcentral also lists the same sequence under 2 other names. Lineage: Bacteria; Pseudomonadati; Pseudomonadota; Betaproteobacteria. The record is from RNAcentral.